The sequence is a ribosomal RNA, 1779 nucleotides long. It matches the Rfam family "Eukaryotic large subunit ribosomal RNA", at positions 56 to 1423 of the family's 3401-position model.
GAAAAGAAACUAACAAGGAUUCCCCUAGUAACGGCGAGUGAAGCGGGAAGAGCUCAAAUUUGAAAGCUGUUGCCUUUGGUAACCGCAUUGUAAUCUCGAGAUCUGUUUUCCGCGCUGGACCAUGUACAAGUCCCUUGGAAUAGGGCGUCAUAGAGGGUGAGAAUCCCGUACUUGACAUGGCCUCCCAGUGCUUUGUGAUACAGGCUCAACGAGUCGAGUUGUUUGGGAAUGCAGCUCAAAAUGGGUGGUAAAUUCCAUCUAAAGCUAAAUAUUGGGGAGAGACCGAUAGCGAACAAGUACCGUGAGGGAAAGAUGAAAAGCACUUUGGAAAGAGAGUUAAACAGUACGUGAAAUUGUCAAAAGGGAACCGUUUAAAGUUAGUCAUGCUUGCCUGGACUCAGCCUUGCUUUUGCUUGGUGCAUUUCCAGGUUAGCAGGUCAGCAUCGGUUUUGACUGCUGGAUAAGGGUGAGAGGAAUGUGGCACCCUAGGGUGUGUUAUAGCCUUUCACUGGAUGCAGCAGUUGGGACCGAGGAACGCAGCGCGCCUUUAUGGCGGACCUUCGGGUACCUUCGCGCUUAGGAUGCUGGCAUAAUAGCUUUAAGCGACCCGUCUUGAAACACGGACCAAGGAGUCUAACAUGUCUGCGAGUCUUUGGGUGGCAAACCCAUAGGCGCAAUGAAAGUGAAUGCAGGUGGGAUCCUCACGGAGCACCAUCGACCGAUCCAGAUCUUCUGUGACGGAUUUGAGUAAGAGCAUAUAUGUUGGGACCCGAAAGAUGGUGAACUAUGCCUGAAUAGGGCGAAGCCAGAGGAAACUCUGGUGGAGGCUCGUAGCGGUUCUGACGUGCAAAUCGAUCGUCAAAUUUGGGUAUAGGGGCGAAAGACUAAUCGAACCAUUAACAGACUACAGGUGGUUAAUAGGCAGCUGAAAAGUGCUUGUCUAGUAUGGCCUACAGUGGGCAUGCGACAUCUUCCAAUUGACGGGGACAUCCUAAAGCCUUCAUCACCAAGCUAUCAUGGAAACGUGCAUAGUGGCCGAGCUAAUAGCCCUGGGUAUGGUAACAGUAUGAAGGAUGUAACAAUGGACAAUCCGCAGCCAAGCUCUACGUUGCAGCAAUGCAAUACGAGUGCAGUUCACAGACUAAAUGGAGAUGGGUGGCUUAGUGCUGCUUAAGUUAUAGUCGACCCCUUGCGAAAGCAAGCCAAGUUGAAUAAGAGUUGACAGGUUUCCCACUGUGUUAAUUGAACCCAACUCCCGAGCUUCUUGGGGCGUGCAAUGUAAAAGCCGCCGGAAUACGUGCUAGUAGCUGGUUCCUGCCGAAGUUUCCCUCAGGAUAGCAGAAACUCGCAUCAGUUUUAUGAGGUAAAGCGAAUGAUUAGAGGCCUUGGGGAUGCAACAUCCUUAACCUAUUCUCAAACUUUAAAUAUGUAAGAAGCCCUUGUUACUUAAGUGAACGUGGGCAUGCGAAUGAGAGUUUCUAGUGGGCCAUUUUUGGUAAGCAGAACUGGCGAUGCGGGAUGAACCGAUCGUGGGGUUAAGGUGCCGGAAUACACGCUCAUCAGACACCACAAAAGGUGUUAGUUCAUCUAGACAGCAGGACGGUGGCCAUGGAAGUCGGAAUCCGCUAAGGAGUGUGUAACAACUCACCUGCCGAAUGAACUAGCCCUGAAAAUGGAUGGCGCUUAAGCGUGUUACCCAUACCCCACCGUCAGCGUUAGAGCGACGCGUUGACGAGUAGGCAGGCGUGGAGGUCAGUGAAGAAGCCUUGGCAGUGAUGC